CCUCAUCGUCAAACUCAUCGUCCCCUUCCUCGUCUUCCUCCAGGGGCUCGGCGGCCGCGCCGCUGCUGGGCUGCCCGAGCAACAGCCCGUGCUCCGCCUCCUCCUCCUCCGAGGCCAGCUGGCCCUCGUCCACCAUCGCCUCCGCCGACGCCGGGGCGCGAGACGCUCGCGGUCGGAGCUGCACCAUGGCCCACGCAGCGCUAGACCGUCUGACCUCUGACCCGGAAGCAGCUACAAGCGGAGCGCAAGCCUACUUUCAUCGCCCCCUGCAGGCGCAGGCCGCCUUGGAGCCGGAUGGACCCCACGGAAAAUGCUCUGCCGGCGAAAGCGGCUGGCAAUGGGGUUGAUUUCAAGGCAGGGAAGAGCCAUCGCGCUGCCCUCCUCGGCUGGGAUGGCGAGACAGGGCUGGCACGGCUCACGCUGUCCGGUGCUCAGAAAACCGGUAAUCGCGGGCCCGAGGCGCUGCUCGCCGCCGUUUUUUGGCCCUGGGUUCCGUCGAGUGGAUCCAGCUUGUCAGUCUUUGUGUAGAUUUGGCUGCGUUCGCUCCGCACUUCGGAGGAGGUGGCGUUUCAUGGGAAGAAAUGCGCUCUAGCAGAUGGCCGCCGUGGCCAGUCAGCCCUGCUGCCACCGACGAAGACGCGGGCGACAGACCUGGACUCUAAAGAAAUCUGCACAGACGUGCCCGGCGCCCUCGGCCUUCCCAGCUCCGCGGCCGCAGCGACGCCGGUUAGGAUGUCGGCCCUGUGGGAGGGGCGCCCUUCCUGGUGCCGGGCCCUAACCCACGACCUGGAACAGCAGCUGGCCCGUGGCAAAUGCUGAGCAUAUCUCCUGAAAGAAUGGCUUCGCCGGUCCCUAGAGAAUGCACCCGAGUUUUGUGGUAUAUACACAUACGUACUUUUUUUCCAAGUAUAUUUUAUUUCUUGGCAAACAUGGCCCUUUGUGAUCGCUGUGUUUCUCUCCUCCCAUCCAUUAUACAACACUAAGUGAUUCAUCAUUCUUUGAACAAAUCAAACUGUUUCACACCUGCCAUGCAUUUGUACCGACCGUGCUCUUCCCUCUACUGCCGCAGCCCCCCAGGUAGAAGUCCUUUUUAUACUUCAAAAAUUCCCACCCAGGCAAAUUUCAAGCACCUUACCCCUACCCCAUCCCACUCUGCCCAUCUCUAAUUGCGCUGGUCUGAACCCGCACAAAUGUCUGUGUAGUUUCUGCACUUCAUAACAGCUUAUAUGACAGUUGCUCCAGCCAUUCUGUGAACCCCUGAGGGGAAGGGCCAGGUCUUGCUAGUCAUUUUAUUUCUAAUGUCUAUCAUCUGGUAGAUGUUUAAUAAAUGCUAAGUUGAAUAAUUCUAUCUUACACAUAUAUUGUAUUUUUAAUUCUCUUUUCAUGUCUUCUGUUUUAGAAGCAAUUCUCAAUUUAAAAACGACAAAACCAAAUAGGAACAAAAAUGAUAAAACUUGAAAACAACAACAACAAAAAAAGCUGCUGAACCAGAGGUUCAGUAUGAGAGGAAUUGCAAAGAACAGUUUUGAAAUCUCUAGGCCUUAGUCAGAUAGAAAUUACAAAUCAAAAAUAUAAUCAGACUCCCUGAGACACUAACACUAGGAAAAUGAAUAAAGUUAACUUGGAGCAGCCCAAGAACAAACUUAUAAGUGCAUGAUGGUAUUUUAUGUGCAAAACUGCUUUAUAAGUACUAUAAGACUAUUACAGGUAUUACCAGUGCCCUCAGUGUAAACUCCUUGGCCCACCCAUGUAAAGUGUACAUCGAGCCCUCAGGGUCCCUGACUGGUUCUCCAGCCGCCCCAUAGGCUAUGAGCAUCCCCGUUCCCUACACAAAGGACCACUGGGAUUUAUUAAAGGUUAUGCCUUGCAAUGCAGUACAAAGUUUUAUAUGAUAGUGUCUUGUUGCCUGUUUCUACAAAAGCCAAGGGUGUAACAUUAAAUGCAAUUUUGCAAGGGGCUGAGGUGAUGUGGUCCAAGUAUGUAAUCACUUCAGGGAGCCAUAUGUGACCUUCAUACACUGUUGAUAAUGGCCAUGCCUCCCAGUCAGGCCUGUGACACCUGCUGGACAGCAGGCAUUCCAAGGCCCCUAAGCACUGAGUUAGCUGGUAAAGGUUAAGGAAAAAGCUGUAUUCUUACUACUUUACUCCAAGGUAGUAAAGUGUAUGGAAGAUGUACCUGACAGAAAUAACUUAAGCAUCCCCUGAGAAUGACCCUGUAUGGCAGAUGCAUCUGACAGCAAUAACUUAAGAAGUGAGGGUUGCCACGUGGAGGCUGCUGAGGGGAGGGUGCUGAGUGAAAGUGCUAUGUAAACUGCAUGCUUUUUAUAAGUGGUUGCAGUUCUGUCCAGCCCGCGGCCACUGGACCACCCUGUAAGGUUCCCCAAAUAAACCCUAUGUUUCCUUCACUAGCUCCAGGUCUCUUCUUUGGCCUCUUGAACCUGGUGCCAUCCCUACUGAAGUUAACAGAGGUCUGGCCCAACCUAAGGGCAUCAUUUUUUAAAGUCCCAUGGAAAAAACUCCCAGCAGAGUUCAGCAUCUGGGAACGGUUGGCAGGCCCCACAGGAACCACAGCUUCUGCCUUUAUGAUGCUGAGAAACACUUCACUGUUGACUUCCCCCAUCUAAGGGGGCCAGAGCUAAAUUUUGGGCAGCUGUGUUUAUCCUGGGGGUCCACAUAUUUGCAUCAUUCUUUCUUCUCAUCGUGAUGUUCUACCUUGUUGGUACUGUUCUCUUCCUUCUUUGUGUGAGUUCCUGUUGUGAGCUUCCCCUUGUUCACUGAGGUAAUGUAGCCAAACAAGGUUAAAAAGCCCCCAGUAAGCCGGGUGCGGUGGCUCAUGCCCGUAAUCUCAGCACUUUGGGAGGCCGAGGCGGGCAGAUCACCUGAGGUCGAGAGUUUAAGACCAGCCUGACCAACAUGGAGAAACCCCGUCUCUACUAAAAAUACAAAAUUAGCUGGGUGUGGUGGUACAUACCUGUAAUCCCAGCUACUCAUGAGGCUGAGGCAGGAGAAUCUCUUGAACCCGGGAGGCGGAGGUUGCUGUGAGCUGAGAUCGCACCACUGCACUCCAGCCUGGGCAACAAGAGUGAAACUCUGUCUCAAAAAAA
RNAcentral lists this long non-coding RNA (3103 nucleotides) under Homo sapiens (human). RNAcentral's name for it is "non-protein coding lnc-RANBP9-1:3". Lineage: Eukaryota; Metazoa; Chordata; Mammalia; Primates; Hominidae. The record is from RNAcentral.